GAAAAAGAAGGCACUGAUUUAUCACAGUCUGAGAAAGGCUGCCGGAAAUUCAAUUAAGCACUGGAAAAAAAUGAUAUGGAGGACCCACACAAAAGUGAGUCUCAUUGCUCUCAAGGCAGUGUGCAGAAGUGAUCAGUCUCUGGAGAUCGUAAGACGUUGUACCGGGAGCUUAUACUUCAUGACCGUUGAUGCUGAAGUAAGGAGAAUUCGCAUCAUCACGACUCAGAAGGCAAAAUGGAAAGUACAAUCCCUUUCUUCUGCAAAAAUGAAAUGUUUCUUGCAGCUGGUGAGUCUAAGGUACUCUGUUACUGCAACAGAAAAUGGAUUAAAAUGAUAUCCUGUCAGAAAAAAACAAAUAAAAGUGAGUACACUCCAGCAGAAAUAUUACACAAAGAUAUGGU
This 401-nucleotide long non-coding RNA is filed under the name Chinchilla lanigera (long-tailed chinchilla). RNAcentral's name for it is "lncRNA (ENSCLAG00000024067.1)". Lineage: Eukaryota; Metazoa; Chordata; Mammalia; Rodentia; Chinchillidae. The record is from RNAcentral.